This 1006-nucleotide long non-coding RNA is filed under the name Castor canadensis (American beaver). RNAcentral's name for it is "lncRNA (ENSCCNG00000031078.1)". Lineage: Eukaryota; Metazoa; Chordata; Mammalia; Rodentia; Castoridae. The record is from RNAcentral.
AUACUAGAAAUAGCUGCCAUGUGGAAAUUUCCUAUCCCAAAUCCUGCCUCUUGUCUUUUUCCCACCCCUGCCAAAGGUCACCAAAAUUUUCCAGAAGAAGAAGAUCUUGGUGACAUACAGCUUCCGUCAGUCCUUUCCCCUGGUGGAAAUGCACAUGCAGCUCUUCCAGAAUUCAUAUUACCAGUUUGGGAUCAAGUUACUGUCUGCAGUACCUGGUGGAGAGCGAAAAGUCCUCAUCAUCUUCAAUGCCCCUAGCCUCCAGGACCGGCUACGCUUCACAUCCGACCUACGUGAAUCCAUUGCUGAGGUGCAGGAGAUGGAGAAAUACCGUGUGGAGUGUGAGUAGCCCAGACACAUCUCCUUCCUGCUCUCCUGAUACAAUGGCCUGCAGACACCAAGAAUCCUGUCUCCUGAAAAUAUCAAGAGUUGAGGGUUAGGGCUGGUGGAGCAGCUCAAGUGGUAGAGUACCUGCCUAGUAAGCAUGAAGCCUUGAGUUCCAACCCCAGUACUGUCCCCCACAAAAGAGUUGAAGGUUAGGUUGCCCAAUUUGUCCUACCCUCAUCCCUCUUCAUCCUCUGCUUGAAUACCUUCAGUGACAGGCUCAUUAUCUUCCAACCUCAGAUUAUUAUUUCAAGCCCUAAGAGUCUAUGCUGUGGCCCCCAUGCCCAUCUUCCAAUUGUGAGCCAACUCUCCCUCCAUUGAAAGGCAUCAGGCUUUAGGAAUCAAGGUAUAGGAAGUAGGGCUGUAGUUUCAGAUUUCAGGUAUGCUCCUUAUUAUUGGGUAAACCGGGGUGAGUUGCCUAGCCCUGCAAACCUCAGUUUCUUCCUAUAUGAAAUUGGGAUAAUGAAAUAUCUUCCAGAAUUAUGAAGAUGAAAUGAGACAAGAUAACCAAAGUGUACAUCCUCGGUGUUGAGUAAAUAUCUUUCCUUGUCCCAUCCUCUCUUUUCCUCUUCCUACAUAUCAGUUCCUGAGCUAAAUCCCAACAAUGUAUCCCCCAACCCUCAGG